This 253-nucleotide ribosomal RNA is filed under the name uncultured bacterium. RNAcentral describes it as "partial 16S ribosomal RNA". It matches the Rfam family "Bacterial small subunit ribosomal RNA", at positions 524 to 776 of the family's 1533-position model. The record is from RNAcentral.
UACGUAGGGGGCAAGCGUUAUCCGGAUUUAUUGGGCGUAAAGAGCUCGUAGGCGGCCGUUCGCGUCGGAUGUGAAAGCUCAGGGCUCAACUCUGAGAUGCCAUUCGAUACGGGACGGCUAGAGGUAGGUAGGGGAGAGUGGAAUUCCUGGUGUAGCGGUGAAAUGCGUAGAUAUCGUAAGGAAGACCAGUGGCGAAGGCGGGUCUCUGGACAGUUCCUGACGCUGAGGCACGAAGGUCAGGGGAGCAAACAGG